RNAcentral lists this ribosomal RNA (900 nucleotides) under Ceratomyxa dehoopi. Its description in RNAcentral is "eukaryotic LSU rRNA". It matches the Rfam family "Eukaryotic large subunit ribosomal RNA", at positions 101 to 1088 of the family's 3401-position model. The record is from RNAcentral. Lineage: Eukaryota; Metazoa; Cnidaria; Myxozoa; Bivalvulida; Ceratomyxidae.
ACAAGAGCCCGUAGUCGAAUCGCCCCGGCGAAUGUGACGACCGCCGCGCGGCCCCUGGAGGUGUGAAGGCGGCUGGAAUGCCGCGCCGCAGAGGGUGAAAGCCCCGUUGCACGCCUUUCUCGGGCUGCUGGCGCCAGCGAGUCGGAUAGCUUGGGAGUGCUGUCUCAAGCGGGUGGUACACUCCACCGAAGGCUAAAUACCGGCACGAAACCGAUAGCGAACAAGUACUGUGAAGGAAAGUUGAAAAGGCGUCUGAGAAGACGGUCAAAAGUACGCGAAACCGCCGGCGGGGAAGCGGAGCGGCGGUCAUGUGUCAUGUGGCGGGUCCACGGUGGUUUGGAAUGCGGGUGUGUCGCAGCCUGCUGUCCAACCCCUGCAAUUGCCCUACCACCAUGGCCCCCGAAGCGGUCAACCGGGGUUCUACGUUUCCUAAGAUUCUUCUACGGAUUACCCCGGACCGCCACGCACCGCCCGCUCCGACCCGUCUUGAAACACGGACCAAGGAGGCCGAGGCCGCGCCGAGUCGUGAGGUGCCAAACCUGACGGCGGAGCGAACGCGACAGUGUCACCUCCUAAAAAGAACUGCAGCACUAACGACCCCCUCCGGGGGCCGGGAGGCGCGGCCGCGGGACCCGAAAGAUGGUGAACUAUGCCCGGCCAAGACGAAGCCAGAGGAAACCCUGGUGGAGGUCUGGACAAGUUUUGACGUGCAAAUCAAUUUGGCGAGCUGGGCAUAGGGGCGAUAGACUAAUCGAACCAUCUAGUAGCUGGUUCCCUCUGAAAUUUCCCUCAGGAUCGCUGGAGCGCCCGCAGCUGCGCCGGGUAGAGCAAUGACUGGAGGCACCAGGGCCGCCGGCCUUGGCCUACUCUCAAACUCCCAACCGGCGAGCAGGCUCCUAA